GGAAGGUAGUUCAGUGGUAAAGCACUUGACUAACAUACAUGAAGCCCUGAGUUCAAUCCUUAGUGCUUCCA
Molecule: transfer RNA, 71 nt
Filed under: Urocitellus parryii (Arctic ground squirrel)
Lineage: Eukaryota; Metazoa; Chordata; Mammalia; Rodentia; Sciuridae
Also listed under: 2 other names
Description: Spermophilus parryii (Arctic ground squirrel) tRNA
Rfam family: tRNA
About the family: Transfer RNA (tRNA) molecules are approximately 80 nucleotides in length. Their secondary structure includes four short double-helical elements and three loops (D, anti-codon, and T loops).
Source: Rfam by way of RNAcentral